Molecule: long non-coding RNA, 876 nt
Filed under: Panax ginseng (ginseng)
Lineage: Eukaryota; Viridiplantae; Streptophyta; Magnoliopsida; Apiales; Araliaceae
Description: long non-coding RNA (PGIN_LNC019139)
Source: RNAcentral
CCCAUGCAGUCGGACGACCCGCAUGCAGAGUUGGGCGUGAUAAGGGGUCUACGUGAUUAAGGGCCCUAACCCUAAUCAUAUGUCAAACAGGGUAACUCCAAAGGUAGUGUUGGAAAGGGAUUCCACUUGCAUCUUUUAAGGAGAUUGUGUUGGACUCAAAUAUGGUAACUAUCAUAUUUAGGAGUCCUAUUCUAAUUCGGAGAAGGAGGCCAAGAUGCUAUAAAUACAAGGCCAAGGUUACAAUUAACAGGUAAUACCUACUUUUGAGCACUAAACACUUGAGCCUCUAUUAUUAAAUCUUGUGAACGGCCUAUACUUAUUCUCACACCGGAGCUAUCCCCUUUCAACGCGUGAAUUCUGUGAUUGGACGCGUGGACGAAACUUGGCGUUAACAUUGGGUAAGGAAAUCGUACUUGCUAGGGUUAGAGUUUCGUGUUGGCUGAGGAUGAGAGAAAUUCACGAAGAGCACGGAAUUGAUUGAUGGAUUGAAGAGGGGGGAAGAAUAGGUGCGUGAUUACUCCAAUGACACGUGGCAGAACUUUUAGAAUCCGGAAACCUUGUUAGAGUAGCAGGGACUUUGAAGAGCCUUCUUAAGUGCUUCGAGUUAAGAAAAUGUUCAAGUCCUCUAAUCUUCUAAGAGUUCAAGUCCAAAGUUCAAAGAGAGGUCCUCUCCUUCAUAUAAUAGAAGGCGUAUUUAUAGGAUCUACUGGAAAGUAAUCACAUGUCAGACACAUGUUUUCAGAAAAAUUUCAGAAAUAUCCUUUUUAGUCAUCAGAAUAAUACCCAGAUCGUCAUGUUCUUCUAGCCAGCAAUUCAAUAUCCUCAAUCAAUUCUCAAAAUGAGUCGCCUCCAUGUACGAGUCUUCUGCCUCGGGAU